RNAcentral lists this ribosomal RNA (1107 nucleotides) under Triticum aestivum (bread wheat). RNAcentral's name for it is "partial small subunit ribosomal RNA". Lineage: Eukaryota; Viridiplantae; Streptophyta; Magnoliopsida; Poales; Poaceae. The record is from RNAcentral.
AUGCGGCAGCUCUCGUCGCUGCUGCAGGGGCUGGCCCGAUCGAUGGCUGGAAAAGAGAGGAAGGAGGAGGAUCCGCAGGGGACGGUGCUGCGGAUGUCGGGGACGCUGCGGGGCGAGGGCUCCGGGACCUUGGCCGCCGUGUGGUCUCGCCGCGGCGAGAAGGGCACCAACCAGGACUGCUCCGUCGUCUGGGAGGGAUUCGGAUGCCAGGAUGACACCGUCUUCUGCGGCAUCUUCGACGGCCACGGCCAGUGGGGCCACUACGUCUCCAAGGCCGUCCGGGACUCGCUGCCGUCGUCGCUGUUGUGCCGUUGGCAGGAGGCCGUCGCGCUGGCGUCGCUCAUCGACGGCGAGAAGAAGCUCGGCGACUGCCAGUUCGACCUCUGGAGGCAGUCCUACCUGGCGGCCGCCGCAGCCGUCGACGAAGAGCUCCGCCGCAGCCGCCGUCUCGACGCGGUCAACAGUGGCUCCACGGCGCUGUCGAUCGUCAAGAAGGGUAACAUGAUGGUGAUCGCGAACGUGGGCGACUCCCGAGCCGUCCUGGGGACCACGUCGGACGACGGCAGCAUCGCCGCCGUCCAGCUCACCGUCGACUUCAAACCCAACCUGCCUCAGGAGAAGGCGCGCAUCGUGCAGUGCAAGGGUCGCGUGCACUGCCACGAGGACGAGCCCGGCGUGCACCGGGUGUGGCUGCCCGACCGGGAGGCGCCGGGGCUGGCCAUGUCGCGCGCGUUCGGCGACUACUGCGUCAAGGACUACGGCGUGAUCUCGGCGCCGGAGGUGACGCAGAGGAAGAUCACCGCCCGGGACCAGUUCGUCAUCCUGGCCACCGACGGGGUAAGGGACAAAUUCUUGCUGUCAAUGGUAGUACCAUUUUUAUGCGCUCUACCGCAUCAUCUGAUGGACGUGGAAAAAUGGGGGCAGGUUUGGGACGUGGUCACCAACGAAGAGGCGGUGCAGAUCGUGGCUGACACGCCGGAGAGGGAGAAGGCGGCGAAGCGCCUGGUCCAGUGCGCCGUCCGCGCCUGGAGGCGCAAGCGGCGGGGCUACGCCGUCGACGACUGCUCGGCGAUCUGCCUCUUCCUCCACCACUCGCCGCUAUCGUAG